RNAcentral lists this ribosomal RNA (2933 nucleotides) under Escherichia coli. Its description in RNAcentral is "23S ribosomal RNA". It matches the Rfam family "Bacterial large subunit ribosomal RNA". Lineage: Bacteria; Pseudomonadati; Pseudomonadota; Gammaproteobacteria; Enterobacterales; Enterobacteriaceae. The record is from RNAcentral.
GGGUUGUGAGGUUAAGCGACUAAGCGUACACGGUGGAUGCCCUGGCAGUCAGAGGCGAUGAAGGACGUGCUAAUCUGCGAUAAGCGUCGGUAAGGUGAUAUGAACCGUUAUAACCGGCGAUUUCCGAAUGGGGAAACCCAGUGUGAUUCGUCACACUAUCAUUAACUGAAUCCAUAGGUUAAUGAGGCGAACCGGGGGAACUGAAACAUCUAAGUACCCCGAGGAAAAGAAAUCAACCGAGAUUCCCCCAGUAGCGGCGAGCGAACGGGGAGCAGCCCAGAGCCUGAAUCAGUGUGUGUGUUAGUGGAAGCGUCUGGAAAGGCGCGCGAUACAGGGUGACAGCCCCGUACACAAAAAUGCACAUGCUGUGAGCUCGAUGAGUAGGGCGGGACACGUGGUAUCCUGUCUGAAUAUGGGGGGACCAUCCUCCAAGGCUAAAUACUCCUGACUGACCGAUAGUGAACCAGUACCGUGAGGGAAAGGCGAAAAGAACCCCGGCGAGGGGAGUGAAAAAGAACCUGAAACCGUGUACGUACAAGCAGUGGGAGCACAGAGCAAUCUGUGUGACUGCGUACCUUUUGUAUAAUGGGUCAGCGACUUAUAUUCUGUAGCAAGGUUAACCGAAUAGGGGAGCCGAAGGGAAACCGAGUCUUAACUGGGCGUUAAGUUGCAGGGUAUAGACCCGAAACCCGGUGAUCUAGCCAUGGGCAGGUUGAAGGUUGGGUAACACUAACUGGAGGACCGAACCGACUAAUGUUGAAAAAUUAGCGGAUGACUUGUGGCUGGGGGUGAAAGGCCAAUCAAACCGGGAGAUAGCUGGUUCUCCCCGAAAGCUAUUUAGGUAGCGCCUCGUGAAUUCAUCUCCGGGGGUAGAGCACUGUUUCGGCAAGGGGGUCAUCCCGACUUACCAACCCGAUGCAAACUGCGAAUACCGGAGAAUGUUAUCACGGGAGACACACGGCGGGUGCUAACGUCCGUCGUGAAGAGGGAAACAACCCAGACCGCCAGCUAAGGUCCCAAAGUCAUGGUUAAGUGGGAAACGAUGUGGGAAGGCCCAGACAGCCAGGAUGUUGGCUUAGAAGCAGCCAUCAUUUAAAGAAAGCGUAAUAGCUCACUGGUCGAGUCGGCCUGCGCGGAAGAUGUAACGGGGCUAAACCAUGCACCGAAGCUGCGGCAGCGACGCUUAUGCGUUGUUGGGUAGGGGAGCGUUCUGUAAGCCUGUGAAGGUGUACUGUGAGGUAUGCUGGAGGUAUCAGAAGUGCGAAUGCUGACAUAAGUAACGAUAAAGCGGGUGAAAAGCCCGCUCGCCGGAAGACCAAGGGUUCCUGUCCAACGUUAAUCGGGGCAGGGUGAGUCGACCCCUAAGGCGAGGCCGAAAGGCGUAGUCGAUGGGAAACAGGUUAAUAUUCCUGUACUUGGUGUUACUGCGAAGGGGGGACGGAGAAGGCUAUGUUGGCCGGGCGACGGUUGUCCCGGUUUAAGCGUGUAGGCUGGUUUUCCAGGCAAAUCCGGAAAAUCAAGGCUGAGGCGUGAUGACGAGGCACUACGGUGCUGAAGCAACAAAUGCCCUGCUUCCAGGAAAAGCCUCUAAGCAUCAGGUAACAUCAAAUCGUACCCCAAACCGACACAGGUGGUCAGGUAGAGAAUACCAAGGCGCUUGAGAGAACUCGGGUGAAGGAACUAGGCAAAAUGGUGCCGUAACUUCGGGAGAAGGCACGCUGAUAUGUAGGUGAAGCGACUUGCUCGUGGAGCUGAAAUCAGUCGAAGAUACCAGCUGGCUGCAACUGUUUAUUAAAAACACAGCACUGUGCAAACACGAAAGUGGACGUAUACGGUGUGACGCCUGCCCGGUGCCGGAAGGUUAAUUGAUGGGGUCAGCGCAAGCGAAGCUCUUGAUCGAAGCCCCGGUAAACGGCGGCCGUAACUAUAACGGUCCUAAGGUAGCGAAAUUCCUUGUCGGGUAAGUUCCGACCUGCACGAAUGGCGUAAUGAUGGCCAGGCUGUCUCCACCCGAGACUCAGUGAAAUUGAACUCGCUGUGAAGAUGCAGUGUACCCGCGGCAAGACGGAAAGACCCCGUGAACCUUUACUAUAGCUUGACACUGAACAUUGAGCCUUGAUGUGUAGGAUAGGUGGGAGGCUUUGAAGUGUGGACGCCAGUCUGCAUGGAGCCGACCUUGAAAUACCACCCUUUAAUGUUUGAUGUUCUAACGUUGACCCGUAAUCCGGGUUGCGGACAGUGUCUGGUGGGUAGUUUGACUGGGGCGGUCUCCUCCUAAAGAGUAACGGAGGAGCACGAAGGUUGGCUAAUCCUGGUCGGACAUCAGGAGGUUAGUGCAAUGGCAUAAGCCAGCUUGACUGCGAGCGUGACGGCGCGAGCAGGUGCGAAAGCAGGUCAUAGUGAUCCGGUGGUUCUGAAUGGAAGGGCCAUCGCUCAACGGAUAAAAGGUACUCCGGGGAUAACAGGCUGAUACCGCCCAAGAGUUCAUAUCGACGGCGGUGUUUGGCACCUCGAUGUCGGCUCAUCACAUCCUGGGGCUGAAGUAGGUCCCAAGGGUAUGGCUGUUCGCCAUUUAAAGUGGUACGCGAGCUGGGUUUAGAACGUCGUGAGACAGUUCGGUCCCUAUCUGCCGUGGGCGCUGGAGAACUGAGGGGGGCUGCUCCUAGUACGAGAGGACCGGAGUGGACGCAUCACUGGUGUUCGGGUUGUCAUGCCAAUGGCACUGCCCGGUAGCUAAAUGCGGAAGAGAUAAGUGCUGAAAGCAUCUAAGCACGAAACUUGCCCCGAGAUGAGUUCUCCCUGACUCCUUGAGAGUCCUGAAGGAACGUUGAAGACGACGACGUUGAUAGGCCGGGUGUGUAAGCGCAGCGAUGCGUUGAGCUAACCGGUACUAAUGAACCGUGAGGCUUAACCUUACAACGCCGAAGGUGUUU